AACGCUAGCUACAGGCUUAACACAUGCAAGUCGAGGGGCAGCAUUAUCGAAGCUUGCUUUGAUAGAUGGCGACCGGCGCACGGGUGAGUAACGCGUAUCCAACCUUCCCCAUAGUCAGGAAUAGCCCGGCGAAAGUCGAAUUAAUGCCUGAUGUUUUCCACGGACGGCAUCUGAUGUGGAACAAAGAUUGAUCGCUAUGGGAUGGGGAUGCGUCUGAUUAGCUUGUUGGCGGGGUAACGGCCCACCAAGGCAACGAUCAGUAGGGGUUCUGAGAGGAAGGUCCCCCACAUUGGAACUGAGACACGGUCCAAACUCCUACGGGAGGCAGCAGUGAGGAAUAUUGGUCAAUGGGCGGAAGCCUGAACCAGCCAAGUAGCGUGAGGGAUGACUGCCCUAUGGGUUGUAAACCUCUUUUAUAAGGGAAUAAAAUACGGGACGUGUCCUGUUUUGCAUGUACCUUAUGAAUAAGGACCGGCUAAUUCCGUGCCAGCAGCCGCGGUAAUACGGAAGGUCCGGGCGUUAUCCGGAUUUAUUGGGUUUAAAGGGAGCGCAGGCGGUCUUAUAAGCGUGACGUGAAAUGCAGCGGCUCAACCGUAUGAUGUGCGUCGCGAACUGGUUUCCUUGAGUACGCACAAAGUGGGCGGAAUUCGUGGUGUAGCGGUGAAAUGCUUAGAUAUCACGAAGAACUCCGAUUG
This 695-nucleotide ribosomal RNA is filed under the name uncultured bacterium. RNAcentral's name for it is "bacterial SSU rRNA". It matches the Rfam family "Bacterial small subunit ribosomal RNA", at positions 32 to 715 of the family's 1533-position model. The record is from RNAcentral.